This 383-nucleotide unclassified non-coding RNA is filed under the name Hevea brasiliensis (rubber tree). The record is from RNAcentral. Lineage: Eukaryota; Viridiplantae; Streptophyta; Magnoliopsida; Malpighiales; Euphorbiaceae.
GCCGCUGCCAGCGCCUACUCCCAACUUCAAGUAGAAGACUAGAAAGGGAAAAAACGCCCGACAAAAAAAGCCCGGCAGUAAGCUCCUCUCUCGAGUCUCAAACCGUGUGAAGAAAACAUUCCUAUAAAAAAAAUCAGAUUUAUUAUGCAUUCACGUCUCUUUACGUUUCUCAUCUCUGAAAAAAAAAAAAUCUCAACUCGUCAUCCUCGGCUCACAUUCUUGGAGUUCAACCACUUUCCUUCCUUUUUGCCUAUUCUGCUCUCUUAUUCACUGCCAUUUCUAUAUAUCCAGUCUCUUUCACACUCUUUGCUAUUUGCCACAAUUCAACCUGUGAAUCAAGCAAGGAAUCCAUGACUCUCUUAGUCUGUUUCGCUGUUGUACGC